GGGUCAACGCUGGCGGCGUGCCUAUACAUGCAGUCGAGCGGACAGAUGGGAGCUUGCUCCCUGAUGUUAGCGGCGGACGGGUGAGUAACACGUGGGUAACCUGCCUGUAAGACUGGGAUAACUCCGGGAAACCGGGGCUAAUACCGGAUGCUUGUUUGAACCGCAUGGUUCAAACAUAAAAGGUGGCUUCGGCUACCACUUACAGAUGGACCCGCGGCGCAUUAGCUAGUUGGUGAGGUAAUGGCUCACCAAGGCGACGAUGCGUAGCCGACCUGAGAGGGUGAUCGGCCACACUGGGACUGAGACACGGCCCAGACUCCUACGGGAGGCAGCAGUAGGGAAUCUUCCGCAAUGGACGAAAGUCUGACGGAGCAACGCCGCGUGAGUGAUGAAGGUUUUCGGAUCGUAAAGCUCUGUUGUUAGGGAAGAACAAGUACCGUUCGAAUAGGGCGGUACCUUGACGGUACCUAACCAGAAAGCCACGGCUAACUACGUGCCAGCAGCCGCGGUAAUACGUAGGUGGCAAGCGUUGUCCGGAAUUAUUGGGCGUAAAGGGCUCGCAGGCGGUUUCUUAAGUCUGAUGUGAAAGCCCCCGGCUCAACCGGGGAGGGUCAUUGGAAACUGGGGAACUUGAGUGCAGAAGAGGAGAGUGGAAUUCCACGUGUAGCGGUGAAAUGCGUAGAGAUGUGGAGGAACACCAGUGGCGAAGGCGACUCUCUGGUCUGUAACUGACGCUGAGGAGCGAAAGCGUGGGGAGCGAACAGGAUUAGAUACCCUGGUAGUCCACGCCGUAAACGAUG
This 800-nucleotide ribosomal RNA is filed under the name Bacillus subtilis. RNAcentral's name for it is "bacterial SSU rRNA". It matches the Rfam family "Bacterial small subunit ribosomal RNA", at positions 26 to 811 of the family's 1533-position model. Lineage: Bacteria; Bacillati; Bacillota; Bacilli; Caryophanales; Bacillaceae. The record is from RNAcentral.